GGAGAGCCCAGCGGGCUGCCGGCGGAGCGACAGCUCUCCUCCGGGUGGAUCUCGGGGUAAUCCGUCGUGUAGAGCGCCGAGAUGGGCUCCAUGGAUUCCAUCCUCUCCAUCCUGUCUUUCCGAGUCUUCAGCCGAUGAAGAGACGACCAACAAUAUCAAUGAUCGUCACGAGGGGCUACACACUCGCCUCUAUAACUCCGUGACUCACUUGAUACGACACCACUUUAAUUGCAGUGUGUGUGAUCGCCGACGUCACAACGACAUCAGCACCGCGGACAGCGCUCGUGAGGAGAGGAUGAGGAGGAUGACGAAUAUGAAGCGGGGUGGGGGCUUGCUGGAUUGGGGGAGGGUCGUUCACUUUAGCUACGCUGUAGGUUAACACAGUGACAUAGGCGCUCCGUUUAGUGUGGCUUUCCAGCAAUGUUGAAGCAAUCCAUGAAUGGAACUGUCUCUGACGUAGAACCAUUUGGAGGCACGUACACACAUUCGCACGCACGCGAGCACACACACGCACACAAACACACACGCACGCACACACACGUACAUACAUGCGCACACACGCAAGCGCACACACACGCGCGCAGACACGCACACACACACACACACACACACACACACACACACACACACACACACACACACACACACACACACACACACACACACACACACACACACACACACACACA
Molecule: long non-coding RNA, 689 nt
Organism: Gadus macrocephalus (Pacific cod)
Lineage: Eukaryota; Metazoa; Chordata; Actinopteri; Gadiformes; Gadidae
Exons: 2
Source: RefSeq, a predicted model, not a curated record